Molecule: ribosomal RNA, 560 nt
Filed under: Bacillus sp. NHV811-5
Lineage: Bacteria; Bacillati; Bacillota; Bacilli; Caryophanales; Bacillaceae
Description: bacterial SSU rRNA
Rfam family: Bacterial small subunit ribosomal RNA
Source: RNAcentral
AGCGGCGGACGGGUGAGUAACACGUGGGCAACCUGGCUUUCAGACUGGGAUAACCCCGGGAAACCGGGGCUAAUACCGGAUAACCAGCCGGUUCGCAUGAACCGGCUGUAAAAGAGGGGAGUUUUCUCCUCUCACUGAAAGAUGGGCCCGCGGCGCAUUAGCUAGUUGGUAAGGUAGUGGCUUACCAAGGCGACGAUGCGUAGCCGACCUGAGAGGGUGAUCGGCCACACUGGAACUGAGACACGGUCCAGACUCCUACGGGAGGCAGCAGUAGGGAAUCAUCCGCAAUGGGCGAAAGCCUGACGGUGCAACGCCGCGUGAACGACGAAGGUUUUCGGAUCGUAAAGUUCUGUUGUGAGGGAAGAACACGUGCCGGUCAAACAGGCCGGCACCUUGACGGUACCUCACGAGAAAGCCCCGGCUAACUACGUGCCAGCAGCCGCGGUAAUACGUAGGGGGCAAGCGUUGUCCGGAAUUAUUGGGCGUAAAGCGCGCGCAGGCGGUCUUGUAAGUCUGAUGUGAAAGCCCACGGCUCAACCGUGGAGGGUCAUUGGAAACUG